Molecule: ribosomal RNA, 512 nt
Filed under: uncultured bacterium
Lineage: Bacteria
Description: bacterial SSU rRNA
Rfam family: Bacterial small subunit ribosomal RNA
Source: RNAcentral
GAUCAUGGCUCAGGAUGAACGCUAGCGACAGGCUAACACAUGCAAGUCGAGGGGCAGCACGGGAGUAGCAAUACAACUGGUGGCGACCGGCGCACGGGUGAGUAACGCGUAUGCAACCUACCUAUCAGAGGGGAAUAACCCGGCGAAAGUCGGACUAAUACCGCAUAAAACAGGGGCACCGCAUGGUGAUAUUUGUUAAAGAAAUUCGCUGAUAGAUGGGCAUGCGUUCCAUUAGGUAGUUGGUGAGGUAACGGCUCACCAAGCCGACGAUGGAUAGGGGAACUGAGAGGUUGGUCCCCCACACUGGUACUGAGACACGGACCAGACUCCUACGGGAGGCAGCAGUGAGGAAUAUUGGUCAAUGGGCGGGAGCCUGAACCAGCCAAGUCGCGUGAAAGGAAGAAGGAUCUAUGGUUCGUAAACUUCUUUUGCAGGGGAAUAAAGUGCAGGACGUGUCCUGUUUUGUAUGUACCCUGAGAAUAAGGAUCGGCUAACUCCGUGCCAGCCGCAGC